This 281-nucleotide unclassified non-coding RNA is filed under the name uncultured fungus. Its description in RNAcentral is "partial contains 18S rRNA, ITS1, 5.8S rRNA, ITS2 and 28S rRNA". The record is from RNAcentral. Lineage: Eukaryota; Fungi.
AAGGAUCAUUAUUGAAUAAGCUGGUUGGGUUGUUGCUGGCUCUCCGGGGCAUGUGCACACCUGACACCAACUUUUUACCACCUGUGCACCUUCUGUAGACCUGGAUAAACUCUCGAGGAAACUCGGUUUGAGGACUGCUGUGCGUCAAAGCCAGCUUUCCUUGUAACUUCCGGUCUAUGUUUUUAUAUAUAUACCCCUACAGUAUGUCUAAGAAUGUUUGUUGUUGGGCUUCAAUGCCUUUAAACUUAAUACAACUUUCAACAACGGAUCUCUUGGCUCUC